RNAcentral lists this ribosomal RNA (120 nucleotides) under uncultured bacterium. RNAcentral's name for it is "partial 16S ribosomal RNA". It matches the Rfam family "Bacterial small subunit ribosomal RNA", at positions 796 to 915 of the family's 1533-position model. The record is from RNAcentral.
CAUGCCGUAAACGAUGAUUACUAGGUGUGGGAGGAUUGACCCCUUCCGUGCCGCAGUUAACACAAUAAGUAAUCCACCUGGGGAGUACGACCGCAAGGUUGAAACUCAAAGGAAUUGACG